Molecule: small nucleolar RNA, 145 nt
Filed under: Kryptolebias marmoratus (mangrove rivulus)
Lineage: Eukaryota; Metazoa; Chordata; Actinopteri; Cyprinodontiformes; Rivulidae
Description: Small nucleolar RNA SNORA27 (ENSKMAG00000009056.1)
Source: RNAcentral
AACCCCACCUUCACUUUGCCACCUGGAACCUUCCUGUCUUUGGUGGUCAUUCACGUGGGGGAAAGCACUUCAUCCUGUAACACCCCAGCUUAACUUUCUGUUUCGACUUUGGGGUGUGUUGAGGAGACAGCGAAGGACAGCAGUU